Molecule: long non-coding RNA, 5910 nt
Filed under: Homo sapiens (human)
Lineage: Eukaryota; Metazoa; Chordata; Mammalia; Primates; Hominidae
Description: PREDICTED lncRNA (TCONS_00101953)
Rfam family: Metazoan signal recognition particle RNA (bases 1232-1379)
Source: RNAcentral
ACCGCAAAACCCAAAGACCCACUUAGGUGUCCCCUCUCUCCGCAGAAGAGAGAGCUUUUCCCUUUCUCUCUGUUAAACCUCUUCUCUUAAACUCACUUCUUGCGUGUCCUCGUCCUCGAUUUCCUUGGCGUAAGACGACGAACCUCAGGCAUUUACCCCAGACAACGAAGGUGCUUCAUAAGGUCAUGCAGCUGGGUCAACAUAGGACUGUGUAGCCAAGAGCUACAGGAUGGAUUGCUGAGGCCAGGGAGAUUGAAAGGAAGUCACAGCCCAAUCUCAGAGGGAUCCACGGAGCCAGCGAAAGCUAAGGCGGGACUUACCCAACAGAGGGUCCUGGCCCAGUCACCCAGUGGCACAACCCAACUGGGAGAUCUGAGCAUCUACCAACUGUGGCCACCAGUGAGAUGGUGUCAUUGUCUGGGAGGCCAGCAGAAGUCUCAGUGAUCGGGCAGGACAAAGGACAUUUCUGCAGAGAAUACUGAAGGUCCAGGAGACAGCACAGUGGGACAUAUGUGGGCCCCUGCCCCAUCAUUAGGAGGAAGUGUAGGCUUUUCUGAGGACCUGGAUGCCAUACCAUCUUGAGACAGAGAAUGAGGAACCAACCCUUGACAAGAGAGAGAUGGCCCUGGUAGAGAAUUUGAACCUUGAAUUGGAUUGAAUAUUUAUCCAAAAGAAAUUGAACCAGCACUAGAGAGACUGUUUUGAACUAGAAGUAACCAAGUUACCUUAACUGGAAGUUAGGAUUUUUCCACCCCUGACAUCAGUGGGACAAGGGCACAUGAGCAAGAUAUUUACGGACAAAGAAGAACGUUCAUGUUUUGUACACCUGCUUUGUAGUAUGUUGCAGAUACCGUUGGUUCCCCUGAUUUCAGGUGUUCUCGUUCUUUCUGUACAGUCACUUGCUCAGGGCAAAUGGUCCUCUCCUGCAUGACUCAGAAGCACAUACUGAUUAUUCUAAACUGGUCUUCAUGCCCCGUUCCCUUGUCAGUGAUGUAGUUAGGCAAAGGAUUAUGUAACAAUUCUGGCUAUGAGACAUUGAAACUUCUACUGUGGGGCAUCUGGGAAGAUUUUUCUCAUUGAAAAGAAGAGACGCAGGGUGUGGAGACUCAUGCCUGUAAUCCGAGCCCUUGGGAGGCCCAGGAGGGAGGGUCACCUGAGUCCAAGAGCUCAAGGCCAGUUCGAGCAACAUACCAAGGCUGCAAUAAACAAGCAAACAAACAAACAAACAUUAGCUGGGCACGGUAGUGCACACCUGUAGUCCCAGCUACUCAGGAGGCUGAAAUGGGAGGAUUGCUUGAGCCCAGGAGUUUGAGGCUGCAGUGAGCUAUGAUUGCACCACUGCACUUCAGCCUGGGCAACAGAGCGAGAUCCUGUCUCUAUAAAAAAAUUUUAAAAAAAGGAAGAAAAGAAAAGAAGAGACACACGUGGAAGAAACAGUCUCUAUUCUGAUGCAAGUAAUGACUGGAACUGUGGCAGACAGCUUGGAACCAUGAGAGGAGUUAACUGAGGGCUAUCAGGGAAACUAGAAGAAGCCUGGGUCCUUGAGGAGGCAGACUACUAAAUGGACCAUCGUCCCUUCACCCUUUUUGUUAUGUGAGAUAAUAAACUCUCUAAUUUAAAUCUACUUGAGAUGAAUAUCUGAUACUUGUAGCCAAAAUCAUCCUUAAUGGGACAGAGUGUGGGUAAAUUAUCAACCUUGCUAGCCUUGCCUCAUAAUUUUUGAAUUUAUUUUUAUCUUUUAAUUUUGUUUAUUUUUUAUUUUUAAAGUAGAGACAGGAUCUCAUUAUGUUGCUCAGGCUGGUCUCGAAUCCCUGGCCUCAAGGGAUCCUCCUGCCUCAGCCUCCUAAAGUGCUGAGAUUACAGGUAUGAGCCCCUAUGCCAGGCCAUUGCUUUGCCAUUGUAUCCAUGUGAUUGCAAAAAAGAAAAUCGUGCUAAUAGUCAUUAGCUUUGAAAGACACUUGGAAUUUCUUCCUUCAAGCGAGCUUUAUUCCCAAACUGUUGAACCCUCUGGGUUUGACAGCAGGAUCUACUUCACAUGGUAGCAUCUCCUUCUAUUUGCCUUCAAGACAUUUCCUAAGGGAAGAGAUGAAGACACACUUGUAACGUGAACAAAAUAAUCCUUUUUCCUUUUAAAAAUGUAUGAUUAAAAUGUAAAAUAUAUAUAUAUAUUCUUAAAUGUAAAAUAUAUAUAUAUAUCUUCUAGAGUUGCCUGGAAAGUGAGCUGAGAGCAGUUAAACAUCAAACCCACUGCUGCUUUCCAGCUUUAACCAGAAUCACCAUUGUCUUUCCCUAUGAAAGAAAGGAAAUCUUAGAACUUAAAAGGAUUUCAAGAAGAACUGAAUUUUAACCACUGAGAUGACCAGAGAUGUAAGGCUCACACUGACUGAAGCAGUAUAAUUUGGCUGUCUUUUUAACAUUCAGAAUUCUCUCUGACUCUCCAAAAUUGCAUCUACUUUGAUGAGCUUAUUUUUUUCCUCAACCAAAUUACAUUUCUUGGAGUUCACCUGAUACAUCAUGCCUACUUACUUUUUUUUUUAGAUGGAGUCUUGCUCUGUCACCCAGGCUGGAGUGCAGUGGUGCAAUCUCGGCUCAUUGCAACCUCUGCCUCCCAGGUUCAAGUGAUUCUCCUGCCUCAGCCCCCCAAGUAGCUGGGAUUACAGGUGCGUGCCACCACGCCCAGCUAAUUUUUGUAUUUUUAGUAGAGACAGGGUUUCGCCAUGUUGGUCAGGCUGGUCUCGAACUCCUGACCUCAAGUGACCCACCUGCCUUGGCCUCCCAAAGCGCUGGGAUUACAGGGGUAAGCCACCAUGUCCAGCCCUGCCUACUUACUUUGAACAAAUUAUUUCAGGCUAAUUUACUAGCUGGAGAGAAAGAGGGAGGGAAGCAGGGAGGAAGCAAAGAUAGAGGGAGAGAAAGAGAGGGAGACAGAGAGGAAGAGGGAGAGGGAGAGGAGAGAGAGAGAAAGAAUGAAUUGUGUUCUCCCAAAAUUAGUAUGUUGAAGUCUUAAUAUCCCAGUACCUCAGACUAUGACUGUAUCUGUAGAUAGGGCUUUUGAAAAGGUGAUUAUGUUUAAAUGAGGCCAUUGGGGUGGGCCCUAAUCCAGUCCAACUGUUGUCAUUGUAAGAAGAAGAGAUUAGGACACAGAGAUACCAGGCAUGUGCGUGCCCAGACAGACAACUAUGUGAAGAGACAACAAUAGGUCAGCCAUCUGCAAGCUGAGGAGAGAGGCCUCAGAGGAAACCAACCCUGCCGGCACCUUGAUCUUGGAGUUCCAGCCUCCAGAACUGUGAGAAAAUGUAUUCCUGUUGUUGAAGCCAUUUCUGUUGUUCUGUGGCAUUUUGUUAUGGCAGCCCUAGCAAACUAAUAUGAUAAUUAACUCUUCCAAGUGCUGUUUCCAUUACAAAGUAUCCCAGAAUUUUAUAUUGGUGAAUCUGUGUUCCUCAGGCCAUGUCUUCCCUGUUGGAAAUGCUGUUAUUAUGUCCCAAGGUGACUUCAAGGAGUGGGUUAGAGGCUGAGACAGAGGGUGUGAGAUCGUCACUACUGUAACCUUGCUUUGUUCAGUAUGAACAUGCUCAGAUAUUCUCUGUUUUGUAUUGGGAGAUCGGGAAAGGAUUUAUUGAAAAAAUGUUUCCAUUAGCAAAUGAAGUUUGAAGGCAACUACCGUCUACAAGAGCAAACAAAUGCAUAAAAUUCAAAUAUUAUUUUGUCCCAACCUCAGUGUCAUGAGGGUCUCUUAUACAGAAUAGUAGAUGAGAAUAAAAUUUGAAUUGAUAAUACUGGAAUAGAGUAGUCAUUAUGCAAUGUAACAAACCUCAAAUAUUCAGUGGUUUAACACUAUAGAUGUUUAUUUACCACUCAUUCAAUGUAUGUGUUCCUUGUUAGCAGUAGUUUUCCUUGUAGUCAUUCAGGAAUCCAGGCAUAUUAGUUAUCUAUUUCUGUGUACCCCAUAAAAACCAUUUAUUAUUGCACACUUUCAGAGGGUCAGUAAUUUGGGAGUGGCUUAGCUGGGGUGUUCUGACCAGAGUCUCUCUUGAGGUUGUAGUCAAGAUGUUGGCUAGGGUUGCCAUCAUCUGAAAGCUUGACUGGGACUGUAUCCACUUUCAAGAUGGCGCACUUACUUGGCUGUUGGCAGGAAGCCUCAAUGACUUAUCAUGUGGUCUUCUCCACAGUGCUGCUUGAGCAUCCACACAACAUGGCGCUAGCUUCCCCCAGAGUGAGUAAUCCAGAAUGAAGAAGACAGAAACCACAAUAUCCUUUAUGAACUGGCCUUAUAAGUAAUAUUUUGUCAUUUCCAUAAAGUCCUAUUGGUUACACAAGACUGCCGUAUUCAAUAUAAGAGUGACAACACAUGGGGAUAAAUACUUGGAGGUGUAAAUCAUUGGGAACCAUCCUGGAAGUUGCCUACAAUACUAGGAUCUAUGGCUACAAUUCCCUGGGUCUUGGCUUCAAGACAGAGAAAAGGGAAAGAACAUGAAACAGCCCCAUGUGGUUUUUGUUUUUUUUUUAAUGGACAAGAGUAAGAAAUGGUGAACAUUUCUUCUACUCAUAUUCUACAGUUAGAAUUUGGUCACAUAAUGUAUCUAACUAUGAAGGUAGCUAGGUAAUAUCAUCUCUUGUUGGGAGGGUAGCUGGGAAUACCUCUAUACAAUGGAAGGAAGAGCAUGAACUUUUGGUGGAGAGAUAAUGCUCUCUGCCAUGAUAAAAUGAAAAAAAUAACAUAUGCAGAAUGGUCAACAUAACAGCAUGAAGCAAAUGCACAAUGAAUGAUAAUCAUAAUAUAGUGCUCUUUUGAUAAUCUAGUGCAUACCCAGAACCUGGGAGGUAUUUGGUUUUAAUACAUGUUUGUUGUAUGAAUACGUGAGUUAAGGUAAUGGAUGCAAAAAUGGUAUAAAUAGGAGGAAUUAUAAUUGAUAUUUCUUGAGUUAGCAUGUUUCAUUGGCUAUCUUUAUGGAGGUCCAGACCCUCCUCCGAAGGUGGAUAUUACUGUUCCGAUUUCAAUUGGUCAAAUAGAGACCAAGAGACUUUAGGCAACUUGUUUUAGAUUUGGCACUGAAUGGCGGGAAAGUGCAGAUUUUCUGAGUACUAUGUCUGGGCUCUUUGCUAUAAGCACUAUUGAUUUGAAUGGAUAAGAACAGAAAAGUCCUUUGCUCAGAGGAGAAUCAGGGCCACUGUAUCAGUCAGGGUCCAAUCAAGAGGCAGAAACUAUACCAGUUAUUUAAUUUCAUUUAUUUAUUUAUUAUUAUUUUUUAGAGAUGUGGUCUUGCUGUGUUGCUCAGGCUGUUCUCGAACUCCUGGGCUCAAGCAAUCCACCUGCCUUGACCUCCCAAACUGCUGGGAUUACAGGUGUGAGCCACUGUGCCUGGCCCCGUACCAGUUAUUUUAACAGAGAGAAUUUAGUAUGGCCCAGGCGCAGUGGUUCAAGCCUGUAAUCCCAGCACUUUGUGAGGCUGAGCAGGGAGGAUCACUUGGACCCAGGAGUUUGAGACCAGCCUGGGCAACAUAUUGAGAGUCCACUUAAGAAAAAGAAUUUAAUAUAAAGAACUUUUUUCUUUUCUUUUUUUUUUUUUUGAGAUAGAUGGAGUCUCACUCUGUUGCCCAGGCUGGAGUGCUGUGGCGUGAUCCCAGCUCACCGCAACAUACGCCUCCUGGAAUCAAGCACCUCUCCCGCCUCAGCCUCCGGAGCAGCUGGGAUUACAGGCACUCGCUAACACGCCUGGCUAAUUUUUGUAUUUUAGUAGAGGCAGGGUUUCACCAUGUUGACCAGGCUGGUCUCAAACUGCUGACCUCAAGUGAUCCCCUGUCCUCGGGCUCCCAAAGUGCUGGGAUUACAGGCAUGAGCCACCACGCCUGGCCGAGAAUUGUUAACUAGGAAUCAAGUUGAUAACCAGGCAACUAAAAAGGAAAAAAAAA